RNAcentral lists this ribosomal RNA (465 nucleotides) under uncultured bacterium. Its description in RNAcentral is "bacterial SSU rRNA". It matches the Rfam family "Bacterial small subunit ribosomal RNA", at positions 32 to 507 of the family's 1533-position model. The record is from RNAcentral.
AAUCAACGCUGGCGGCGUGCCUCAGACAUGCAAGUCGAACGAUUAAAGCUCUCUUCGGAGAGUGCAUAGAGUGGCGCACGGGUGAGUAACACGUAAGUAAUCUACCCUCGAGUGGGGAAUAACGUCCGGAAACGGACGCUAAUACCGCAUAAUGCAGCGGCACCGCAAGGUGACAGUUGUUAAAGAUUUAUCGCUUGAGGAGGAGCUUGCGGCAGAUUAGCUAGUUGGUAAGGUAAUGGCUUACCAAGGCUACGUUCUGUAACCGGUCUUAGAGGACGGUCGGUCACACUGACACUGAAUAACGGGUCAGACUCCUACGGGAGGCAGCAGUCGGGAAUUUUGGGCAAUGGGCGAAAGCCUGACCCAGCAACGCCGCGUGAAGGAUGAAGUAUUUCGGUAUGUAAACUUCGAAAGAAUAGGAAGAAUAAAUGACGGUACUAUUUAUAAGGUCCGGCUAACUACGUG